UACGAGAGGCCCAAACGUUAUUCGGAAUUACUGGGCUUAAAGAGUUCGUAGGCGGCGCAGAAAGUAGGGUGUGAAAGCCCUCGGCUUAACCGAGGAAUUGCGCCCUAAACUACUGUGCUUGAGGAACCUAGAGGUGAGCAGAACAGAUGGUGGAGCGGUGAAAUGCGUUGAUAUCAUCUGGAAUACCGGAGGCGAAGGCGGCUCACUGGGGGUUUUCUGACGCUGAGGAACGAAAGCCAGGGUAGCGAACGGG
This 253-nucleotide ribosomal RNA is filed under the name uncultured bacterium. Its description in RNAcentral is "partial 16S ribosomal RNA". It matches the Rfam family "Bacterial small subunit ribosomal RNA", at positions 524 to 776 of the family's 1533-position model. The record is from RNAcentral.